GACAGAGGGUGCAACCGUUGUUCGGAAUUACUGGGCGUAAAGCGUGUGUAGGCGGUCUGCUAAGUCGGGUGUGAAAGCCCUGGGCUCAACCCAGGAAGUGCACUCGAAACUGGCAGGCUAGAGUACUGGAGAGGUUGGUGGAAUUCUCGGUGUAGAGGUGAAAUUCGUAGAUAUCAUCAGGAACACCGGUGGCGAAAGCGGCUUACUGGGUCUCGUCUGACGCUGAGAAACGAAAGCUAGGGUAGCGAAGGGG
Molecule: ribosomal RNA, 253 nt
Filed under: uncultured bacterium
Lineage: Bacteria
Description: partial 16S ribosomal RNA
Rfam family: Bacterial small subunit ribosomal RNA
Source: RNAcentral